UAGCAUUACAGUAAGUAUCUUCUUUGUAUACAGCAACGUAUCAGACCGGGGUUAAAUCAUGAGCGAAUCAGGACUGUAAUCAUUAAAGUUACAUUAAUGUUAACUUUACAGCUCAGUAUCAUAAUGUAAUUUCUUGGCUGUGUAGCUAAUCGAUGUUAUAGACCUCUUGGUGCUAAAUAUAUUCAUGAAUAGACCGUAUUGUUCUAAUGAGAAAAAAAUUUCAUAAAAUUUCAAAACCGCCAUUUUGGUGUCCAAAAUACAACAGUAAUGGCCUUCUUGUUAUGCAGUUGGCUGUCAUUCACGUCAUAAAAAAGGACAGAACUUGUCUUUUUAUCGUUUCUCCGUGGAAAGAUAGGUGUAUAGCUACUAUCAGAACUGGUUAUCAACGAAGUAGACCAGCAGACAGUCACAGGUAGGUCAGUUCUUACGAGUUUUAUUAUUGUAAAAACACCAUAAUAAUCCCAAGAAUAAUAGAUAAUGUACUAUCAGUAUUUUGAAUUGAAAACAAGCCUAUAGAACAAAUGCUCUACAAAGAUACAAGAGGGGCUGUUGCUAGCUAGCCGGAGCCAAAGAAGUCAUUACAGUUUGGACUCAAAGGAAUGGGUUCACUGCUGAUAUUCUAAAUGCCAACAGGACAAGAAACAGAGUGCUACAAACAAGGAAUGAAGUUGGUACAUAUUGUUUCUGCAGGGAACACAAGGGAAAGAUGAUUGCUUGCAAUGGUACGUCCUAACUGUCACAGUGAAUGGUUCCACCACAACUUAAUGCAUUGGGGAUACUGUCCAUACAUGCAUAUUGUCUUAAAGUGGUUUUAUUACUGAUUAUUAUAUAUUUUGUUUGUAUUAUUAUUUUCCAGUAAUAAUUUUUUUCUAAAACAAGUAUUUCCAAAACUGAUUUACAUAAAUUUACUUAAGUAGCACAGUAACAAUCUUAUCAAUUUGUCAGAUAUAUAUACAAUGUAGCAGAACAGUUUGAACCCUUAUCCACUAUGGCCAGCAAAAUAAAGACAUAGCAACUGUCCAACAACCUACCUGUUGUAAUAUUUAUACGAGCAUUUAUAUGAAUCCAAACUUUUAUAAGCCUUCAUUGCUUUCUAUGACCCCAAGCUGACUGCAACUGAGGCCACUUCUCGACGAAUCUGGUAUGGGUCUGAUUGAUCACAGUACUUCUGACCACUGAUCCAUUCUAUUUCAGCAUUAUAUCUAUUCUUAUCAGCUCCGGAAAAAGAGGAAAACUAUUUUCUACCAUGUAAAAGAUAGGCCAUGUUGGACACCAAAAUGGCUGCUACAAUGAAAACCACACCUAAUGGGUGGGGCUAAAAGUUAGAAAUUAUUACGGUAACAUUAUGACUAUAUUUAGCACCAAGAGGUCUAUACCCUGAGUGAUAUUAUUGUAUUAAUGUUCAAUUAUUCAUACAGUGUAUUUACUAUAAAGUUUGUUUUAUACAAAUAUUAUGCUGGUAUGCAUCUGACCCACAGUAAUUCUAUCUGUGUGAUAGUUACUUUAAAUUAAGUCACGAUGCGUAUUAGAAAUUUGAAAUAUGCUGCUUAAUACUGACGUCACUAAAUUACAGCCAAUGAAAUUGAUACACAUGGUUGCUUGAAGAUACUGUUUAUAUAAACUCAGCGUUGGGUUAGCAGUUGAUAUUUUUAGUUAGGAGAAUGGAAUUCCACCGCUAUUCCUUAUUUGUCCUGUUAUUUGUCCUGUUAUUUGUUAAGCUACAGGCCAUACAAGGGUAUGGGAAUGGUGUGCCACCGGAUGAUUCAGGAGGUGGCUCUUUUCAAGAUGAUGCUGGUUCUGAUGGUGUAGAGCAUAUUCUUGCCACUAUCCUUCCCUUACUUAGAGAUAAUGGGUAUCUCCCUGCACAGUGUGCCAUUAUCCUUUUAAAAUUGUUUCAUUACGACACUUUGAAUAUUUCUUUUUAGUCUUAUCCUGCCACAUUUUGCCGUUAUAUUUGCUUUGGCCAUACGUCCAGUGCUGCCAGAGCCUUUUGCAGCUCAAGACCCACAAGGUCUACUUGACCUGUGGUACUACUGGUAGACUUGGUACUGUGGCACUUUUUGACUUUCAUUAUAAACUUUCAUUAUUAUUGUAUUAUAAAAGUCUUUAUUGAGUUGAUUCUUGCCAUAACUGAUCAAUUAUACCUGGAGUGGAUGUGGGUGUCACAAUACUGUGUAUGCAGCAAAAUUUUGUUGUACAUGAAUAUUUUCACAGCUUCAUAAUAGCAUCAAUCUAAUUCUGGGCUUAAUGACAAAUUGCAAAGAAUUUUACAAGUUAAAAUUAUUAUUAGAAUUAAGAAUUUAAUUUAGAUAGUCUGCAGAAACAAAAUUAAUUGUCAAUCAUUCACAAAAUUUUAUUACACAAAAUUUUGUUUGCAUACGGUAUUUCUUGCUGGCGGCAAAAUUAGUGUGCAUCAUUUAACAGGACUUUAACAAAUUUCGGAACCUUUUUGCUCAAGUUUAGAGAUGACAAAAAUCCUUCACUACUUAUGAUGAUGAUCAUAUGAAGAAAUGAUAAAAACCUACCACGGCAUAUUUAGACUCUUCAUAAUAUAUUUUUUUAUUAUUAAUACGAACACUUAAACCUCUCUUUUGCUUUCCAUCAAAAAAGAACAAUUUAUCAAUUUGUCACUCUG
This 2635-nucleotide long non-coding RNA is filed under the name Amphimedon queenslandica. RNAcentral's name for it is "uncharacterized LOC109589676, transcript variant X1". The record is from RNAcentral. Lineage: Eukaryota; Metazoa; Porifera; Demospongiae; Haplosclerida; Niphatidae.